CUCAUUUUAGAGAAAAAGGAACGAGGUCUCAGAUUAAGUUCCUAACCCAGCGAUACUGGGCUGGCCAGCGGUGGAGCUGAGAUUCUGGGGUUCCCCGACCCAGAUCUUGACUUGAACUGCCCUGCAAAUUGCCUUUGUACAUCCAGCCCAACCCCCUGCUUUUCCUUCUCAGUUGUGUGGACUCACGUCUGUCUCUGCCAUUUUCCCAGGGGGGUGUCGUGGGGUGUGCUCGUGGGAGUAUGUGUGUACCUGGAUAUGUGUGUUUGCUUCUAUGAGCAUGUGAGUACACGUAUGUGUGCAUGCACACGUGUGUACUUUCAGAAUAUGAGACAACAUGGCACAGAGGGCUUAUGUCCAAAGAGGGUUGUGGCCGGACAGAGCUCCCGUCUACUGACUGCCUCGUGGAUCACAUUUGGAGAGCUCGCACCAUCCCUGAGAGCUCAGAGAGGGUUUUGUGUCCUUCUCCAUCCACAGGAUGGUGGGGAACCCACCAGGGCCCACGGCAAGGAACCACCCCUCCUGAGCUGCCUCCCUUCUCAGGCUUUCAGGAGAAGGCUCGGGAUUUUGGAGUUUGCAAGCCCAUGGAGCCCUGAGAGACAUUUUUAGGUAUAUUGUUUCUUGGCCAGCCUGUUUCAGAGCAGAGAAGCCCAGACACAGCCACUGUCUCGACCGAGAGACUCUUGAGGGUUUGAAGCCACCUUUACAAAGGCAGGCAAGAGGCUCCCUCGCCAUGCAGGCAUUUUUUUUGUUUUUGCUUUUGUUUUUUUUUUCAAGUAGGUUCCCGGAGCCGAGCCUGAACUCACGACCCCGAGAUCAAGACCUGAGCUGAUAUUAAAAGUUGGACGCUUAACCCACCGAGCCACCCAGGUGCCCCAUCACCAUCUCUGUUUUUAUUUCAGUGUGUGCUUACUUCUAACUUUUUUGGGCCGCAUUUAAAGACCACAAAAUAAUGAGGCCAAAACUCCACAACUUUUGUGUCAUUUAUUCUUUUUUUUCUAAAUAAAGCCCUCCUAAAAG
Neofelis nebulosa (Clouded leopard) is the source of this 1017-nucleotide long non-coding RNA. RefSeq lists it as uncharacterized. The transcript has 2 exons. The record is from RefSeq and is a predicted model, not a curated record. Lineage: Eukaryota; Metazoa; Chordata; Mammalia; Carnivora; Felidae.